GGUGCUUCAUGGUUGAACUAUUCCAUCAGCUCAGCCGUAGAUCUGGUGCAACCAAUAGUAACUCCUCUCUCUCUAUCAUAGGGGAGCAAAAAGCCCAUAUGAAUUUUAUUCAAAAGCAACAAUUACAUAGAUUCAAACUUACAAAAUAGAGGGUAAGGAGUUAGUAAUUAAAUUGUGAUUAAUAAAAAUAGGAGUAGAGGACUUCC
Molecule: long non-coding RNA, 206 nt
Filed under: Elaeis guineensis (African oil palm)
Lineage: Eukaryota; Viridiplantae; Streptophyta; Magnoliopsida; Arecales; Arecaceae
Description: long non-coding RNA (EGUI_LNC038954)
Source: RNAcentral